This is a long non-coding RNA of Mugil cephalus (flathead mullet), 474 nucleotides long. RefSeq lists it as uncharacterized. The transcript has 4 exons. Lineage: Eukaryota; Metazoa; Chordata; Actinopteri; Mugiliformes; Mugilidae. The record is from RefSeq and is a predicted model, not a curated record.
CUGCAGUUCCUCGGACGGCCGCUGCUUCUCCUCCGGACCACCAGGGGGCGACAGAACCACUCAGAGUAACACCCUCAUUCUCUGGUGUUUGGAUGUAGCCAGAAGAGCUAGCGUUAGCUGCGGCUCGAGACGAGGUUCAGAGGUCAAAGGUCAGCAGCUCCACUCUUCUUCAUGGUCAAACAGGUGGUUCUUCUUCUGUGGUCUCUGCAGGUUUUCUCUACCUGCUGCAGGCGGCUGUGUCCCGAGGGUUCGAUUCCCGGUCGGUCCGAUGCAGAAGAGGCCUCCUCCAGCUCAGCAGUGCUGGCGUUGUUUUUAAAGCGGGAUGUGCUUCAUGAAGCCUGGCUGGGUCCGUGUGGACCCUCCAGACGCUGAACAGACUCUAGAGUAGGAUGAAGGGAAGUUAACGGUGUAGUUCUGUUUAUCUGGAUACUCCAGAGUCUGUGAUAUGUGACCUGGUGCAGUUAACUGUGUUAU